GGUAACCUGCCUGUAAGACUGGGAUAACUCCGGGAAACCGGGGCUAAUACCGGAUGCUUGAUUGAACCGCAUGGUUCAAUUAUAAAAGGUGGCUUUUAGCUACCACUUACAGAUGGACCCGCGGCGCAUUAGCUAGUUGGUGAGGUAACGGCUCACCAAGGCAACGAUGCGUAGCCGACCUGAGAGGGUGAUCGGCCACACUGGGACUGAGACACGGCCCAGACUCCUACGGGAGGCAGCAGUAGGGAAUCUUCCGCAAUGGACGAAAGUCUGACGGAGCAACGCCGCGUGAGUGAUGAAGGUUUUCGGAUCGUAAAACUCUGUUGUUAGGGAAGAACAAGUACCGUUCGAAUAGGGCGGUACCUUGACGGUACCUAACCAGAAAGCCACGGCUAACUACGUGCCAGCAGCCGCGGUAAUACGUAGGUGGCAAGCGUUGUCCGGAAUUAUUGGGCGUAAAGCGCGCGCAGGCGGUUUCUUAAGUCUGAUGUGAAAGCCCCCGGCUCAACCGGGGAGGGUCAUUGGAAACUGGGGAACUUGAGUGCAGAAGAGGAGAGUGGAAUUCCACGUGUAGCGGUGAAAUGCGUAGAGAUGUGGAGGAACACCAGUGGCGAAAGCGACUCUCUGGUCUGUAACUGACGCUGAGGCGCGAAAGCGUGGGGAGCGAACAGGAUUAGAUACCCUGGUAGUCCACGCCGUAAACGAUGAGUGCUAAGUGUUAGAAGGGUUUCCGCCCUUUAGUGCUGCAGCAAACGCAUUAAGCACUCCGCCUGGGGGAGUACGGUCGCGAGACU
RNAcentral lists this ribosomal RNA (794 nucleotides) under Bacillus licheniformis. RNAcentral describes it as "bacterial SSU rRNA". It matches the Rfam family "Bacterial small subunit ribosomal RNA", at positions 120 to 895 of the family's 1533-position model. The record is from RNAcentral. Lineage: Bacteria; Bacillati; Bacillota; Bacilli; Caryophanales; Bacillaceae.